This 460-nucleotide ribosomal RNA is filed under the name uncultured bacterium. RNAcentral describes it as "partial 16S ribosomal RNA". It matches the Rfam family "Bacterial small subunit ribosomal RNA", at positions 338 to 795 of the family's 1533-position model. The record is from RNAcentral.
CCUACGGGAGACUGCAGUGAGGAAUAUUGGUCAAUGGGCGCUAGCCUGAACCAGCCAAGUAGCGUGAAGGAUGACUGCCCUAUGGGUUGUAAACUUCUUUUAUAUGGGAAUAAAGUGCAGUAUGUAUACUUCUUUUCAUGUACCUUAUGAUUAAGGAUCGGCUAACUCCGUGCCAGCAGCCGCGGUAAUACGGAGGAUCCGAGCGUUAUCCGGAUUUAUUGGGUUUAAAGGGAGCGUAGUGGGGUUGUUAAGUCAGUUGUGAAAGUUUGCGGCUCAACCGUAAAAUUGCAGUUGAUACUGGCAGCCUUGAGUACAGUAGAGGUAGGCGGAAUUCGUGGUGUAGCGGUGAAAUGCUUAGAUAUCACGAAGAACUCCGAUUGCGAAGGCAGCCUGCUGGACUGCCACUGACACUGAUGCUCGAAAGUGUGGGUAUCAAACAGGAUUAGAUACCCGUGUAGUC